AGAGGUAAAGCUCAGUGGCAGAGCACAUGCUUAGUAUGCAUAAGGUGCUGGGUUCAAUCCCCAGUACCUCCA
This 72-nucleotide transfer RNA is filed under the name Camelus bactrianus (Bactrian camel). It matches the Rfam family "tRNA". From Rfam's summary of the family: Transfer RNA (tRNA) molecules are approximately 80 nucleotides in length. The record is from Rfam by way of RNAcentral. RNAcentral also lists the same sequence under 2 other names. Lineage: Eukaryota; Metazoa; Chordata; Mammalia; Artiodactyla; Camelidae.